CUGCUGCCUCCCGUAGGAGUCUGGUCCGUGUCUCAGUACCAGUGUGGGGGACCUUCCUCUCAGAACCCCUACGCAUCGUCGCCUUGGUGGGCCGUUACCCCGCCAACUAGCUAAUGCGACGCAUGACCAUCCGUAGCCGGAAUCGCUUCCUUUAAACCCCGAGGAGAUGCCUCCUCGGGUUGUUACGCGGUAUUAGACGGAAUUUCUUCCCGCUUAUCCCCCUGCUACGGGCAGGUUUCAUACGUGUUACUCACCCGUGCGCCGGUCGCCGGCGGGAGUA
RNAcentral lists this ribosomal RNA (280 nucleotides) under uncultured bacterium. Its description in RNAcentral is "partial 16S ribosomal RNA". The record is from RNAcentral.